UGAAAAGCUGCUCCGUGCUGGAGAGUCAUGAAAACCAGAUAAGAAAAACAGAUGAUGGAAAUUUUCAAAAUUUGAAAGCUCUAAAUAAAUGUCACAUAUUAUUCUCAUUUUGAACACUGUUUGGCAACAUCCAAACCUAUAUCCAGAGUCCAAACUUACCAUCAACGAUGUUACCUACACUAGAAAAUUCAAAAUUAUAAGAAUUAUAAAAGUUUCAUAUCAGAACUUCCUUCAUCUGGACCAAUCUUUAACAGAAUUGGCCUCAUAUAUGGGAAAGAAAAACAAACCUGGUACAGCUGAUGUCAACAUUGUACCAUGAUGGAAAUAUUGAUAGGGUAAGUUUGACAAAACAGAAGCCUGAGAUAAAAACUUC
Molecule: long non-coding RNA, 373 nt
Filed under: Chinchilla lanigera (long-tailed chinchilla)
Lineage: Eukaryota; Metazoa; Chordata; Mammalia; Rodentia; Chinchillidae
Description: lncRNA (ENSCLAG00000023785.1)
Source: RNAcentral